Molecule: long non-coding RNA, 823 nt
Organism: Dicentrarchus labrax (European seabass)
Lineage: Eukaryota; Metazoa; Chordata; Actinopteri; Moronidae
Exons: 2
Source: RefSeq, a predicted model, not a curated record
UAAAGGGACACUUCACCCAUUUGCAUUAAGCUUUGUAUCAUUAGAACCCCAGUCAUAUUUUUUAAUGGUCGUGCAUCAUUCCCUCACUUUCCCUGAGAGGGGAGAAAUAAGGAUUUUAGUGUUGCACUUCCUGCUUCCAAUGAUGUAAAAAUCGUCAUUUUGCGUCAUUGGAAGCAGGAAGUCUCAUAUCUCUGUAGAGGGAGUGAGACUACAAACACUACUUCCUCAUUUUUUUUUCACUCACGUUACAGACCUAUUACAGAUCAGUGGGUAGGACUUCACCUGCAGAAACUAAAAAAUAUAACCGCCAUCUUGUUUGGAAGCUAAGCGGAGGCGCUGACGAGCCAGACGUUACGACUAUGUUAAUCAAUGUAAUAUGGAAGAAAUUCGAAAGUAUGAUGGUCGAAUCAGAUGUUCGUGGCUACCUCUAUGAGCCGCAAUAUAGCGAAGAGCAGCUGAGGCUUCUGCAGCCGAGGCAGAGGACCUGCCUGUCGCGGACGAGGAGCCCGGACUGGCUCGAGCUGGGGUGGACUGCUGGUGCCUGUGCUCUCGCUGUGCGCCUACGGACACACGGACGUCUGACUGUAAAACAAUAUCGCCUAACAGCCCUUCUGGAAUGGGUCCUGCAAGGCGAGAGAUUGGGUCGAGGCCAUCGUGUCGUUUUACCCGCUUAUGUGGUGCAGGCUAUCCGACAGAAAUAUCCAGCUCCAGAUGGCCAGUACUGCGGGCACCAAGAAGUUGAGGAGGAACUAUAACUGUCAAUGUUAACAUAUUUAUUUUUGUUGUUGUUGAUAUAUUUCUGUAAAUAAAUGGUUUAGAUUCA